Non-coding RNA from Schistosoma curassoni, 46 nucleotides. NCBI's taxonomy places the organism in Eukaryota, Metazoa, Platyhelminthes, Trematoda, Strigeidida, Schistosomatidae. The record is from Rfam.
GUGCUGCUGAAGAGUCCUAUACUAGGACGAAACGGCCGUCCAGUGU